This 595-nucleotide ribosomal RNA is filed under the name Thermofilum pendens. RNAcentral describes it as "bacterial SSU rRNA". It matches the Rfam family "Archaeal small subunit ribosomal RNA", at positions 1 to 565 of the family's 1478-position model. The record is from RNAcentral. Lineage: Archaea; Thermoproteati; Thermoproteota; Thermoprotei; Thermofilales; Thermofilaceae.
GCGGCCUGACUCCGGUUGAUCCUGCCGGACCCGACCGCUAUCGGGGUGGGGCUAACCCAUGGAAGUCUAGGAGCCGGGGCAACGGCCGGCUCCGGCGGACGGCUCAGUAGCACGUGGCUAACCUACCCUCGGGAGGGGGAUAACCCCGGGAAACUGGGGAUAAUACCCCAUAGGCGCGAGCUCCUGGAAUGGGCUCGCGCCGAAAGGGGCGUAGCGCCAUGCCCGCUACGCCCGCCCGAGGAUGGGGCUGCGGCCUAUCAGGUAGUUGGCGGGGUAACGGCCCGCCAAGCCGAAGACGGGUGGGGGCCGUGAGAGCGGGAGCCCCGAGAUGGGCACUGAGACAAGGGCCCAGGCCCUACGGGGCGCACCAGGGGCGAAACUUCCGCAAUGCGGGAAACCGUGACGGAGUCACCCCGAGUGCCGCCCGAAGAGGGCGGCUUUUCCCCGGUCUAAAAAGCCGGGGGAUAAGCGGGGGGCAAGCCUGGUGUCAGCCGCCGCGGUAAUACCAGCCCCGCGAGUGGUCGGGACGUUUAUUGGGCCUAAAGCGUCCGUAGCCGGCCCGGUAAGUCCCCCCUUAAAGCCCACGGCUCAACCG